UGGCGGACGGGUGAGUAAUGUCUGGGAAACUGCCUGAUGGAGGGGGGAUAACUACUGGAAACGGUAGCUAAUACCGCAUAACGUCGCAAGACCAAAGAGGGGGACCUUCGGGCCUCUUGCCAUCGGAUGUGCCCAGAUGGGAUUAGCUAGUAGGUGGGGUAACGGCUCACCUAGGCGACGAUCCCUAGCUGGUCUGAGAGGAUGACCAGCCACACUGGAACUGAGACACGGCCCAGACUCCUAACGGGAGGCAGCAUG
RNAcentral lists this ribosomal RNA (258 nucleotides) under uncultured bacterium. Its description in RNAcentral is "partial 16S ribosomal RNA". It matches the Rfam family "Bacterial small subunit ribosomal RNA", at positions 96 to 353 of the family's 1533-position model. The record is from RNAcentral.